UUACAUUAUAUCUUCAAUUGUUAAUAUUAGCGAAAAAAAUUUCUCAACUCUGAAAUAAAUAACUAAAAUAAUAUAUUUUCUAAAUUUUAUGAAAAUUGUAUGUAGAACGUAAAGAAUGCAUAGAUCAAGAAUCGUAUACGAAGCGCAUCAUCAUCAUCAUCAUCAUCACCAUUAUCAUGAUGUUCUAGACGUAUAUGUUUAUAUAUCAUUGCACUUGUAUAAAUAUCAAUGCAUUUUUGACAAUGUUGCGAGUCGUCUUUGACGUCGGUGAUCCGAUAGCCGAGUGCACUUCGUACGCGGAUAUGCGAUAACAAUGCUACGUACUAUGCACUAAGAUUGUAAGUCGUUGAAAAAAACUCUGUGCCGUCGAACUUUAAACUCUUCUUACAAAAUAAAUAACAAUUAUUUGUUCGUUUCUCCAUGCAUUUUUCUGUUCUCGUCUGUAUCUUUCAAAGCUCUACAAGAGCAUAUCCUUAGUCUAUUGCGAAUAUGCAAAGAGAGCAGCAAAGUAAACAAAUCUAUUAGAACAUUUCCGUGUCAGUAAUUUUCCACUUUAUGAUUUUCUUCGAUCUUUAUCUGUCAAUAGAAGAUUCAAUUCUAAAAAUUGAUCUAAGCAAAAUCAGAUCUUGCUUGGCUACAUAGUCCAACUAAAUGAAAUAGAGCUAGAAAAAUUACUUAAACAUUACACAGUAUUAUAGUUGCUGGAUUUCAGUGUAUCAACAUUUUUAACAUCAUUCUGUGUACAUCAAAGAAAAUAUUUCAUCUUUCGUUAUCACACUUUUUUAUGCAUGGAUGCAGAUGAAAUCCUAAAGUUUGUACAAUGUAGCAGUGCUAAAUUUCUCGUCUCGUCAUACAUCGAUCAUGCGUCAUACAAGCUUCUCAUGCAAAUGAAAUAAGAUUUAUGUGUAAGCAAUACUUGUUUGCCAAAAAGUUGUUGAACUGCAUAAAAUAAACAGUUUUUCGCCGUUUCUUCCGCUGAUUCGUAGCUACUAUAGUAAACAACAAAGUCCAUUAAUAAUAACGUAAAAUGACACGAUAUCGUGACAUCGCUUCGCAAAUAGAAACGACCUCUCUAAAAAAUGCAAAGAAAAAAACGUGACGUAAAAAAGGCAACUUAUCAGUGAUUCGCGCGAGUCUACAUCUUGACAGUUCGUAUUAUUUAACAUCUAUUACUAUUACAGGCGGAAGUGUAUGAUAUUCUCGGUUAAAAAAUACCAUAGGAAAAUCAAUGUAUAAUGUUAAAUCUUCACUAUACUUUAUACCGAGUCCAUUUAAUUUUCAGUAGCAGUAUUCAUUCCAUUAAUCAGUACCGUCUCGCGAGAGGCACGACCGAACAGAUUAUCAAUGCUAAAGUGACUCGCAACUUAUACCGAUGUAAAAUGUUGCUGUCAAAUAUAGUUAACCGUUUCUGGAGAUUUACAAUUACUUAAUUUCCACACAAUUGCAUUUAUGUCAAAUGUAUAUAUCUGUAUGUAUGUAAAAAAUGCAUAGAAAGCCAGUGAUACGAAAUAAUUUCAAAAAAAUAAUUUUUAUGAAAAAUGUUGAGUGUUAAAAACAGAAAAACUUGAAAAAAAAAAAACGUUGAUUUGAGAACAAAAUCUCUUCGACAUAGGAUACAAAUUGAUAACAUAAUUAUUUAUUUAAUUUUGGAUCUUUAAUAAAAUGAUAAUGUGACCGUAACUAAUAAAAGUCAUUUAAUGUUAAAAAUUAAUAGAUUUACGCGUCUGUACGUACGCAAAUUCAAUUCCAAGGAUAUCGACCCUAGGCACAAUCAAUCCGCAAUAUCCUCGGAGCCACAAUUGGUUGCGUGUGUUACUACAAAAUUGAGUAAUCGCACACGAGACAACGGAUAAAGUGAUCUAGAUCACGGUCAAAUGCAUGUAAAACCUUGGAAACGACCUGAAUUUUCUACAUUAUCUUUUAUUUUCAAUUUUCCCUUGUAAUUUUUCGUAUGAUAUUAAAGGCCAUCAUUUCACAAAUAAAAUUUUACUAAUCCUUCCUAAUCAGAUUUUUUAACAGAAAUUUGCAUAUUACGCGGAUCUUAUUGUCUUUUCUUUAUUACAAAAUUCAUAAGAAAUCUUUCAGGACGAUAAAACAUUUCUGCGAGAAAAUAGCUUCGAGUUGAAAAAGAAAAAUUGACAGGAAUUCAUUACGUGAAAUUGAAUUUUUAAUCAAUUCAAUUCAUCAAAGCGGAUAAUUAGCUUUUAAAUAGAAUUUUCUUCCUUCUUUGCUUGCUUGUUCCUAAUGGCUAAAUACAGAAUUUUAUUUAACAUUUUACAUUUUAUGCCAAAUGUAAAACAGUAUCUAAUUUUCUAUUUUUUUGUUUAUCGCUUCUUUUACCAACUAGAAUACUUUCUAGAAAAAAAGAACUCUCGUACUUGAAUUAUAACUAAAUACUUUUUCAUUUAAUAACAAUGCUAACUCUAUUGUUGAUCAGAUUCGACGCCAAUGAUCCUGAUAGAGAAGCCGCUCUGUUGUAACGGAGGGACGGCUGCGUGUGUGCAUCGAAUACGAGUAUUGGUGUGUGUGUGUGUGUGUGUGUGUGUGAUGCACAGCGAGUCAUCACAUACAUACGGAUCAUAGCCACGCGCGCAUAUAAGAGAAUAUUUCAUCGUUCCCUACGUAGCAAAGUUCCAGGCCGCCGUGACGUGUCCCGCGUCACGAAGAGCAACCCUAUCCGUCUAGGCGCUUGUGUACGUGCGUGUACACAUAUGUUCGUAAUGAAAUUCUCUCGCAGCUGCUCGAAGGCGUGUCGCGGUGCGAUUGGCGUAGCCGAUGGUCGAGCCUCCCGAGACAGUGACGCUAAAGACGACAAGAAGCUCGAACACGCUAAAAAUAGCCCGUAAAGUACUCGCCCGAGCGCGAACGCGCCGCCGACCGCCAACAUUCGUCUAAGGGUGUGCUGCUGCUGCCUGUUUUCGAGACGCCGCCGCGCCGUUGUUCUGGUUACCUCGCCAAGUCGCUAAUUUCGAUAGGCUACGAGCCCGCAAAAAAAAACGCGUCCCCGUACAAGUUAAUCUACUCUUCGCUGUUCUGGAAAUGGUGCGUAAAAAAAUCUUGGAUAGCUUUAGAAUGGUUAAAUACACCGUAAAAAAGGCGAUUUUACGACACAUUAUUAAUAUGGAUGUUUGUUAUAUAAUGACGACCAAUACGAUACGUACGUAGUAGGACUUAUAAUAACGAUGAUCGCGCAUUAUGAUAAUCACGCGAUAAUCUCCUUCUUGGAAUUCUACAGAGAUGACGAUGCGACGCUAAUCAUUUUAGCUAUGUUAAUUAGUUCGAAGUGUUACGAUAUCUUAUAACGCAAAAUGUCGCGUGUUCCAGGUAAGCAAAAGACUCAAUUGCCACUUGUGGCAUUCCGUUCCGCAUGAUUAAUAUUUUUUUAAGCCGACUUCAUUUUCUUACAGAAGUAGUUUUCGUUAAAAUUCCACGUUUGAUAAUAGUGUAUCGCUUUAUAUGGUGCGAAAAUGGAACUUAAUGAUGAUAAUGGGUUUUAACAAGAAUUUUCAAGCAGCUGUCAUUACUCAUACAUUGUAUUCAAGGAGCACUGACGAGGCACUUCCUCCGUUUUUGAUUAUUAUCGAAUCGCAGCCAAUCGCCACGCAAUGCGAGACUGUCUUUGCAGCAUGCUAAAACUCAAAGAGAAUUCAAGUUUUCGAUGCACCGAACCUAUUUUAUUUAUAAAAAUAUUUUACUUAUAAAGAAAGAUGGAAUUAUAUAUCUAUGACUGUUGAAAUUACACAAUCAAUGUAUACAUUAAUCAAUAUCUUUGCAAUAUUUUUACAAUUUGACCAAACAGCAAUUGUACUUGGUGAGAUGACAACUUUCUCAGCGUUUUUGCAUCAGAGUUUGAUCUAAAUGAUUACGAUAAAGAAAUCGAAGAGCAGUUAUUGAAUUUAUAAUAAAAUUAAGAUUUGUAUAAUGAAAUAAAAAUAAUUUCUCUCUCUAGUA
Monomorium pharaonis (pharaoh ant) is the source of this 3951-nucleotide long non-coding RNA. RefSeq lists it as uncharacterized. The record is from RefSeq and is a predicted model, not a curated record. Lineage: Eukaryota; Metazoa; Arthropoda; Insecta; Hymenoptera; Formicidae. The transcript has 2 exons.